This 105-nucleotide non-coding RNA is filed under the name Anaerolineae bacterium. RNAcentral describes it as "TPP sequence". It matches the Rfam family "TPP riboswitch aptamer (THI element)". Rfam says of the family: Vitamin B(1) in its active form thiamin pyrophosphate (TPP) is an essential coenzyme that is synthesised by coupling of pyrimidine and thiazole moieties in bacteria. The previously detected thiamin-regulatory element, thi box was extended, resulting in a new, highly conserved RNA secondary structure, the THI element, which is widely distributed in eubacteria and also occurs in some archaea. Analysis of operon structures identified a large number of new candidate thiamin-regulated genes, mostly transporters, in various prokaryotic organisms. The record is from RNAcentral. Lineage: Bacteria; Bacillati; Chloroflexota; Anaerolineae.
CACAAUUGAACGGGGAGCCGCUUGCCGGCUGAGAGGAGCGUUGCCGCUCGACCCGCAGAACCUGAACCGGUUAGUACCGGCGGAGGGAUGGUUGGUUUCACCUUU